UCGAUCACGUGUGAAUCAUCGAAUCUUUGAACGCACUUUGCACCUCGUGGCUUUUGUCACAAGGUAUACUUGUUUGAGUAUCCACAACCAUCUCACCUCUCCUUCGGGUUGAAGUGGAUUUGAGAUUCGAUGAGACUCUUUCGGGAGUCGAGUCGUUUCUUUAAAUGUGUGUGACCGUAUAGGGAUGUCUCCGCUGGACGUCUAGGUAGAGUCAUUGGGAUAACAUCCUAACAAUCGCCUACCUAGUGCUUAGAUCUCGCAAGAGGCCUAAGAGGAAGUGUUGACGGACCCCUGGUCACUCAAGGGAAACAGGAUGUGCAAGCAUCUUGAAUCCAUGAGGCUUCGGCUUCUGUGAAAUGGAUCUCAAAUCAAGUAAGGAUACCCGCUGAACUUAAGCAUAUCAAUAAGCGGAGG
This 414-nucleotide ribosomal RNA is filed under the name uncultured Mortierellales. RNAcentral's name for it is "eukaryotic LSU rRNA". The stretch from base 359 to 414 matches the Rfam family "Eukaryotic large subunit ribosomal RNA", at positions 1 to 56 of the family's 3401-position model. The record is from RNAcentral. Lineage: Eukaryota; Fungi; Mortierellomycota; Mortierellomycetes; Mortierellales.